RNAcentral lists this RNase P RNA (370 nucleotides) under bovine gut metagenome. RNAcentral's name for it is "Bacterial RNase P class A". It matches the Rfam family "Bacterial RNase P class A", at positions 31 to 360 of the family's 367-position model. Rfam says of the family: Ribonuclease P (RNase P) is a ubiquitous endoribonuclease, found in archaea, bacteria and eukarya as well as chloroplasts and mitochondria. Its best characterised activity is the generation of mature 5'-ends of tRNAs by cleaving the 5'-leader elements of precursor-tRNAs. The record is from RNAcentral.
UUCGGGCUGCGGGAGGAAAGUCCGGGCAGCAGAGAGUCACCAUACUUCCUAACGGGAAGGGACGCAGGCCGCAAGUCCUGCGCCACAGCCAGUGCCACAGAAAAAAAACCGCUACUAUGCCUUGUGUCCCCAUGGACUCCAGGCAUACAGUAAGGGUGAAAACGCGAGGUAAGAGCUCACGACGUGGGGUAGCGAUACCCCAUGAUGGUAAACCUUAUGGGCUGAAAAACCAAAUAUACCGACAGUUAAGGGUUGACUCGUCCGUUGUCGGGGGGUAGGUUGAUUGAGGCAGCCGGCGACGGCUGUCCUAGAUUAAUGAUAGAGGCUUGGCUCCUUUUGGCCAUCCACAGAACCCGGCUUACAGGUUGCC